This 957-nucleotide ribosomal RNA is filed under the name uncultured Bacillota bacterium. RNAcentral's name for it is "bacterial SSU rRNA". It matches the Rfam family "Bacterial small subunit ribosomal RNA", at positions 1 to 917 of the family's 1533-position model. The record is from RNAcentral. Lineage: Bacteria; Bacillati; Bacillota.
UGGAUCCAGACUUUGAUUAUGGCUCAGAACGAACGCUGGCGGCGUGCCUAAUACAUGCAAGUCGAGCGAGCUCGCCUAGAUGAUUUUAGUGCUUGCACUAAAUGAAACUAGAUACAAGCGAGCGGCGGACGGGUGAGUAACACGUGGGUAACCCGCCCAAGAGACUGGGAUAACACCUGGAAACAGAUGCUAAUACCGGAUAACAACACUAGACGCAUGUCUAGAGUUUGAAAGAUGGUUCUGCUAUCACUCUUGGAUGGACCUGCGGUGCAUUAGCUAGUUGGUAAGGUAACGGCUUACCAAGGCAAUGAUGCAUAGCCGAGUUGAGAGACCGAUCGGCCACAUUGGGACUGAGACACGGCCCAAACUCCUACGGGAGGCAGCAGUAGGGAAUCUUCCACAAUGGACGAAAGUCUGAUGGAGCAGCGCCGCGUGAGUGAAGAAGGGUUUCGGCUCGUAAAGCUCUGUUGGUAGUGAAGAAAGAUAGAGGUAGUAACUGGCCUUUAUUUGACGGUAAUUACUUAGAAAGUCACGGCUAACUACGUGCCAGCAGCCGCGGUAAUACGUAGGUGGCAAGCGUUGUCCGGAUUUAUUGGGCGUAAAGCGAGUGCAGGCGGUUCAAUAAGUCUGAUGUGAAAGCCUUCGGCUCAACCGGAGAAUUGCAUCAGAAACUGUUGAACUUGAGUGCAGAAGAGGAGAGUGGAACUCCAUGUGUAGCGGUGGAAUGCGUAGAUAUAUGGAAGAACACCAGUGGCGAAGGCGGCUCUCUGGUCUGCAACUGACGCUGAGGCUCGAAAGCAUGGGUAGCGAACAGGAUUAGAUACCCUGGUAGUCCAUGCCGUAAACGAUGAGUGCUAGGUGUUGGGAGGUUUCCGCCUCUCAGUGCUGCAGCUAACGCAUUAAGCACUCCGCCUGGGGAGUACGACCGCAAGGUUGCAACUCAAAGGAAUUGACGGA